Molecule: non-coding RNA, 171 nt
Organism: Paenibacillus macerans
Lineage: Bacteria; Bacillati; Bacillota; Bacilli; Caryophanales; Paenibacillaceae
Source: Rfam
UCCAUCGCGAGGUGGAAUCUGAAGGAAGCCGGAGGCAAAAGCACGGGCCAAGGUACACAAACUGGAUUUGAGGCAGGAUGAACCGGAUGAGCUGCCAUAACACAGCGAAAUCCAAAGCCGCCAAGGAUCACUCCUGUAAACUCCAGUGGUCGUGGGCGGAAAGAUGACGUU